GGGUCAGUAGGCUGGUCGUGCCAUCGGUACGUACUGGUCUCACUGAUUCCUCCUUCCUGAAGAACCGUAAUGCCAUUAAUUUGGUGUUGCGGGGAAACAGGACUGUUACUUUUAAAAAAUUAGAGUGUUUAAUGCAAGCUAACGCUUGAAUACAUUAGCAUGGAAUAAUGAAAUAGGACGAUCGAUCCUAUUUUGUUGGUUUCUAGGAUUGACGUA
This 216-nucleotide ribosomal RNA is filed under the name Glomeromycotina sp. RNAcentral's name for it is "partial small subunit ribosomal RNA". The stretch from base 40 to 216 matches the Rfam family "Eukaryotic small subunit ribosomal RNA", at positions 686 to 864 of the family's 1831-position model. Lineage: Eukaryota; Fungi; Glomeromycota. The record is from RNAcentral.